AUUGAACGCUGGCGGCAGGCCUAACACAUGCAAGUCGAGCGGAUGAAGGGAGCUUGCUCCUGGAUUCAGCGGCGGACGGGUGAGUAAUGCCUAGGAAUCUGCCUGGCAGUGGGGGAUAACGUCCGGAAACGGGCGCUAAUACCGCAUACGUCCUGAGGGAGAAAGUGGGGGAUCUUCGGACCUCACGCUAUCAGAUGAGCCUAGGUCGGAUUAGCUAGUUGGUGGGGUAAAGGCCUACCAAGGCGACGAUCCGUAACUGGUCUGAGAGGAUGAUCAGUCACACUGGAACUGAGACACGGUCCAGACUCCUACGGGAAGCAGCAGUGGGGAAUAUUGGACAAUGGGCGAAAGCCUGAUCCAGCCAUGCCGCGUGUGUGAAGAAGGUCUUCGGAUUGUAAAGCACUUUAAUUUGGGAGGAAGGGCAGUAAGUUAAUACCUUGCUGUUUUGACGUUACCAACAGAAUAAGCACCGGCUAACUUCGUG
RNAcentral lists this ribosomal RNA (484 nucleotides) under uncultured bacterium. Its description in RNAcentral is "partial 16S ribosomal RNA". It matches the Rfam family "Bacterial small subunit ribosomal RNA", at positions 30 to 507 of the family's 1533-position model. The record is from RNAcentral.